CGGCUCACGUAGGUUCGUUCGCGUGGUCUUCUUACGCCUCGCUGGAUCGUGUUCAGUCAUGCCGUCCUUGCGCGGCGUGAUUGUCGGCGAGUCAGGUUAAAUUCUUAAAUAGGUCGCGCCUGCGCCUAAUUGAGUCUAUAAAAGCCUGCACAUUCAGUUUUGCUAGCUACAAUGCAGUGCGGCUGGCGUGAGCUGUCUCCACGAUGCGCUUCGAGCGUGUCGAUUUCGCCGUUCUUUAUGUUGGCGUUAACGACCUUGAAAGCAACAUGGAUCCACAAGAAAUGUGCGACAACAUCAAGGCCUUGAUUGUUCAACGAGACGGCCCCCGUCGUGCUGGUUUUCAAGGUGCUCCCUCGCUGCCUAGAAGAUGCUGAUGCGGAAUAGAAAAUGCAAAAACGUCGCUUGCUCAACCGCAAAUUGACGGCUACGCUGAAGCGCAUGCCGUGUCUGCGGAAUUUGAACCCCGAGCUUUCCAGAGUUCCUUGGAAAAUCUUCCCAUGCACCUGCCAUGUACAUUGCCCUCCUCCUCGAUGUGGCGUGCAAGAUGGCAGCAGCAGCUGUGGGAACAGUUGAAGAGGCAAAGAAAGGUCCACUUUAUAAUAGGUUGUAUGUAAAUAAAACUGAUCGACCUCAA
This is a non-coding RNA of Dermacentor andersoni, 634 nucleotides long. NCBI's taxonomy places the organism in Eukaryota, Metazoa, Arthropoda, Arachnida, Ixodida, Ixodidae. The record is from RefSeq and is a predicted model, not a curated record.